AACGCCGCGUGAGGGAGAGGCCUCUGGGCUGUAAACCUCUUUUCUCAAGGAAGAAGGUCUGACGGUACUUGAGGAAUAAGCCACGGCUAAUUCCGUGCCAGCAGCCGCGGUAAUACGGGAGUGGCAAGCGUUAUCCGGAAUUAUUGGGCGUAAAGCGUCCGCAGGCGGCUCUUCCAGUCUGCUGUUAAAAAGUGGAGCUUAACUCCAUCGUGGCAGUGGAAACUGUUGGGCUAGAGUGUGGUAGGGGCAGAGGGAAUUCCCGGUGUAGCGGUGAAAUGCGUAGAUAUCGGGAAGAACACCGGUGGCGAAGGCGCUCUGCUGGGCCAUAACUGACGCUCAUG
RNAcentral lists this ribosomal RNA (341 nucleotides) under uncultured Synechococcus sp. Its description in RNAcentral is "bacterial SSU rRNA". It matches the Rfam family "Bacterial small subunit ribosomal RNA", at positions 393 to 751 of the family's 1533-position model. The record is from RNAcentral. Lineage: Bacteria; Bacillati; Cyanobacteriota; Cyanophyceae; Synechococcales; Synechococcaceae.